RNAcentral lists this ribosomal RNA (459 nucleotides) under uncultured bacterium. RNAcentral's name for it is "partial 16S ribosomal RNA". It matches the Rfam family "Bacterial small subunit ribosomal RNA", at positions 338 to 795 of the family's 1533-position model. The record is from RNAcentral.
CCUACGGGUGGCAGCAGUGAGGAAUAUUGGUCAAUGGGCGGAAGCCUGAACCAGCCAAGUAGCGUGCGGGAUGAAGGCCCUACGGGUCGUAAACCUCUUUUACACGGGGAUAACACCCUCCACUUGUGCAGUUCUGCAGGUACUGUGCGAAUAAGGACCGGCAAAUUCCGUGCCAGCAGCCGCGGUAAUACGGAAGGCCCGAGCGUUAUCCGGAUUCAUUGGGCUUAAAGGGAGCGUAGGCGGGCGUUAAAGUCAGCUUUAAAAUUGGGCGGCUCAACCGCGACUCGCAAUUGAAACUGGACGCCUUGAGUUCAGUACAGGUAGGCGGAAUUCGUGGUGUAGCGGUGAAAUGCAUAGAUAUCACGAAGAACUCCGAUUGCGAAGGCAGCCUGCUGGGGUGCCACUGACGUUGAUGCUCGAAGGUGUGGGUAUCAAACAGGAUUAGAUACCCCAGUAGUC